RNAcentral lists this long non-coding RNA (3950 nucleotides) under Homo sapiens (human). RNAcentral describes it as "HSALNT0199593". The record is from RNAcentral. Lineage: Eukaryota; Metazoa; Chordata; Mammalia; Primates; Hominidae.
CACACACCAGCGCCUGUCAGGGGGUUGGGGGCAAAGGGAGGGAGAGCAUUAGGAUAAAUACCUAAUGCAUGAGGGGCUUAAAACCUAGAUGACGGGUUGAUAGAUGCAGCAAACCACCAUGGCACAUGUAUACCUAUGUGACAAACCUGCAUAUUCUGCAAAUGUAUCCCAGAAAUUAAAGUAAAAUUUUAAAAAAAAAAAUUCUAAAAAAAAAAAGAAAAGAAUUUGGAGUUUUGGCAAGAUUUUUGGACAAGGAAACUCCCACCAAAAUUCUAUAAUGUAAGAGCUCAGUCAUAAAACAGAGCUCAGCUGGCGGAGCCUGAUUUGCCUCCUACAAACCUCCCUUUAAAAGGCUCAGGAAAGCAAGAAUGAGGUACAAAGUUGCAAAAGCAGUGGAUUCUGGAAAUAUGGGUCAACUCACUGGAAGAAUUUCAACUCUCCAGGGUGCAAGUAGGGCCCACAGGUACAAGAGUGAGAGUGAACUAGAAAGGUACAGCCCAUCUCUGAUGUCUCUCUGCACCCCUUCCUUCACAGUCAUGGGGACUCUACAGGCCACGGGGUGGGCUGCCAGCCUCCUUGAUCACAGAGUCCCUUUCUGAAGGAAACAAGCUCAUUUCACAAGCAUGGCAAACCCUUUCCUCGUUAGAAAUGCUCUGUCUCACUAAUUUUAGGGACUGUAAUUUCCAGUACUACAAAAGACCGUGUGCAGAAGCAACAGUGGUUCAGUUCAUGUAAUUCCUCAUGUUAUACAUUUAUAUAUGACAAGGACUGCCUUAAGAAUUCAGGAUGAAAUGAUGAAGAUACAGUCUUUGCAUGAAUAUAAUAGUAAAACAAACACACACAAAUUAUAAUAUAAAAAAAAUCCUAGAGGCCACUGUUGGCACCAGCCAGUGAAAUCAUUUCUCUCUCCAGUACCUCAGCCCCUGUCUCGGCUGCCUUCCUCAAUCCCUUUCAGAUCCCUUGGUCCUUGGUAGAGCCCGGGGGGCUCCUAACAUAAUGCCUUAGAGCAAUUAUCCUUGCAUGCAUCUGCCUUGGAGGUGGCUCUGUGAUUUAAUAGAGAAUCUCAGUCUUUCUCUGGCUCUGUGCUUGAAAAAGUCUAGUUAUUUGACCUCAUCAAUUUGAUUGAAAUGAGCUACUCUAGAUCCCAUGAAAAUAUACGACCAUUUCAACAUUUUCACAGAGUUUAGUGUUUUAUUUUCCCCAUUCAUUUGUUAACUCUGUAUGCCUUAAAUACCCAUUUUGAAAUCCAUAGUAUUGUACUGAAGGAUCCAGCUAAUUUUCAGCAUAUAAUUAUUGUAUGACUUCAUAAGUAACUGGUUGUUAAUCGUCUUAAAUGGAAAAAUAACACUGCUGGCUGUGAGGGGUGAUUUUUCUUUUCCGCUUCUUUUCCUUGGGUUUACCCAGUUGAAGCCUGUGUAUGCUAGCCACAUAAUAAAUGCUCAUUAGAUAGUGAUCUGAUAUUAACCGUAUGUGACCCUAGUACCUUGAGUGACUUACAAUUUUAAUGACUUUUAAUGAAUAUCUCCUACUAUGUAACACCUGAAUGAUUUUAAAAUUUUAAUUCAUUUCUCUUUAGCUUUUCAAUCCCUUUAUUCUUAAAGUAUUUUAAGGAAAUAUUUUUGCAAGUGAAACUCCUUGUUUCCCAGACUGCACCUCUUUCCUGCAUUCUGAAGUCUGUUUCCACCUGCUGGCUAGACAUUGCUGUCUGGAUGUUCCUCAAGUUUCUCAGGCUCAGCACAUGGAAAUACUCAACAUCAUCCUGAUCAAAUGCUCCUCUUCGUAAGUCUGUUAUUCAGUGGCUCAAUCCAGAGACCUGAGAAUCACCGGAGACUUCUCUCUCUCCCCCUUCCUCCCAUGACUCAUCAUCCCAUCAAUUCUUCCUCCAAAAUACAUCUCACAUCUGUUUCCUCUCCUCAUUCCCCCUGCCACGCUGUUGGUUCGUGCCUUCUUAGAUGAAUGCAAUACAUCUUACAGGUCUUCCUGCCUUCAGGGUCUGUCCUCUCCAGCACACCCUCUCCAUGGGUCACGCCAACCUAUUCUCCCCUCCUUGAUUCGAGCUUUGCAACUACUCUCCCUUUCCCACCACGUGAAGUCUACAUUUCUUCCCAUGGCUUAAAAGGUACUUCACAUGCUCCACUUCUACUUGCACGCCAUGCCCUCCCACAGACCCCUUCACUCCAGCCUUCUACAUAUGCCACACCCCCUCAUAUUUCAUCUUAAAUGUAAACUCCAAAUUUCAUGAAUGAACCCAUCAAUAAAUGAAAUAAAAAUAUGCAUCCUGACUGUCCCAGGAUUGCCCAAAGAGGAGCAGAGUUAACUUGGAUAUUCAGAGAUUCAUCUGUGUAUUGAAUAGUUGGGGCUUUGCUUCUGCUCACUAAUUCUUUCAUCCAAAAUGAACUGUUUAGGGCAUCCUGGGGAAGAUGUUUUUAUCCUGCUAACUCUUGGGAAUAGGAGGAGGAAGUGGCUGGCAACUGAAGGCUGGAACACUUGCUACUGGUAAUCGCAGCUUUUAACGUUGCACCUCUUUAGAUACUUGAAGAAUUCUCUGUUUUGGUUCCAUUUUGUACACUUUUGAAAAAUAAUCUAAAGAAAUGAGCUGUGCUCAUAGGGCUUCAUAGCUCCCAAGAAUUAAAAAAAAAAAUUCACUCAAUCAACUUAAUUCCCUUUUCUUUAUCUUCCCUCCCUCGUUCUCUUUCUGUUCCACUCUCUUUUCUAAGCUGUUUCACUUUGCAAUACCUUGCUGGUAAAGAGUUGCAAAAUAAUGCAAUCUUGACUUGUUUUCUCCUAAGUAUUUGAUUUAAAACUCCUGUAUCUAAAGAAAUACACUUGGGGUCAUUAAUAAAGAAAAUCUUUUUAUCUGAAAAAAAAAUUCCCAAGAGUUAGUGGGAUGAAAACUUUUCUGCAUGCUUCAGGCAGCUGUCAGAACGAAGGAAAUGAGGUAAUCGAGAAACGGAGCACAGAUCAAUGUUUACACUCACGCAAAAGGCGAGAUAGGAGAAGAGAGAGAGAGGAAUGGUCAUUGUGGGUGUUUGAGCUCAGAUGAGGGCCCCUGUGGGCUCAACCAGGUCUGUGUUUUAUAAUCCUAUCAAAUGUAGAGCUGGCAUAAUGAAUUCAAAAUGAAUUUAGAUAAAAAUGAUUUGUGACUUUUCACUUUAAAUCAAAGCUCAUUACCCAGCAAUAUAUAUGGCUGGCACUCUAUAAAUAAAAAUACAUUUAUUCAGGGUAAACUUAAUACACAGACUUAGAAAUUUAAACAGCCCCCAAUAAUGUUCUAAUUUAUUUUAUGUUCCCUGAAGUUCUAUAAUGAAGGCACUAAAAGUUCAUGAUACAUAUGCCUUAGAAAAUAGCACCUGUUGACUAAAUGCAUAUUGAGGUUCAGUCACAUUACACAGAAUUUCAGAAAGACAAAGGAAUUUAGUUAAUGUUCAGGAAUCGUUUUGUGAAUAAUAAAAGGAAUGCCAGCUCUGGAAGUAAUCUUUGAAUAAUUCACUAUAAGAAACUUGGGAACAGUAUAUAAUGUAGAACACAUUCCAAAAGAAGAAAAGCUCUGCAAAGAAAAAAUAAAUUUGUGUAUUCAUUUAUUCAGUAUACACAGCACAUGCCUCUAGGCCAAUCACAUCAGUUUUAGCCUUGUAAAACUAAGCAUUAAACUGAUGAUUUCCAGAUUUAUCUGUCUGAGUUAAUUUUUAUUGUGGCAAACACAGCAGCAACAAUAAAGUCAAAGUUUCAGUGGCUUACACAAUAAACAUGUAUGCCUUGCCUAUAGGUCUGUGGCUGUUGCGUGGCUCUUCUGGGCCUGGCUGAACUUGGGUCCAAGCACGCCCCAUGUGACUCUCAUUCUGGCUAAGGAAUGGGGGAGUACCAAUGACCAUGCCAUACCACAAAAGCACACAUAAAACCUUUGCUGAGCUCACGCCUGUAAUCCCAGCACUUUGGGAGGCUGAGGCGGG